GUCGGUAAUAGNCGGGAUAGC
RNAcentral lists this transfer RNA (21 nucleotides) under Hibiscus surattensis. RNAcentral describes it as "partial tRNA-Phe". The record is from RNAcentral. Lineage: Eukaryota; Viridiplantae; Streptophyta; Magnoliopsida; Malvales; Malvaceae.